GAUGAACGCUGGCGGCGUGCUUAACACAUGCAAGUCGAACGAAGCUGUUAAAAGGAAGUCUUCGGAUGGAAUUUUAACAGACUUAGUGGCGGACGGGUGAGUAACGCGUGGAUAACCUGCCUUAUACAGGGGGAUAACGGAGAGAAAUUUCCGCUAAGACCGCAUAAGACCACAGCACCGCAUGGUGCAGGGGUAAAAUAUUAAUAGGUAUAAGAUGGAUCCGCGUCUGAUUAGCUAGUUGGUGAGGUAGAGGCUCACCAAGGCGACGAUCGGUAGCCGGCCUGAGAGGGUGAACGGCCACAUUGGGACUGAGACACGGCCCAAACUCCUACGGGAGGCAGCAGUGGGGAAUAUUGGACAAUGGGGGAAACCCUGAUCCAGCGACGCCGCGUGAGUGAAGAAGUAUUUCGGUAUGUAAAGCUCUAUCAGCAGGGAAGAAAAUGACGGUACCUGACUAAGAAGCCCCGGCUAACUCGCC
Molecule: ribosomal RNA, 478 nt
Filed under: uncultured bacterium
Lineage: Bacteria
Description: bacterial SSU rRNA
Rfam family: Bacterial small subunit ribosomal RNA
Source: RNAcentral